AUGGCAUUCACAAAGCAGCCUUUGGAGCAGUUUCGAGAGAAUCCACCAGAGGGCGAUGCUUCUUCACAUGUGGUGGGCUGUCAGGUGGCGAUUUUACAUGCCAGACAGCUGCUGUGCAGUUUCUUGCUUAUUAUGAGUGAGGAGUUUCAACAGGAUCCGGUUGAGACUAGCUCUGUCAGUGUUGGUGUCCUGCAAGAAUCAAGGAUCACUUUCUCCCAUGAACAUGUUUCCAGACACCGGCUCAGCCCUCGUGCUCCUCUUAAUGCUCAUGAGGAGUAAUGGAGACUCAGUGGCACAGACAGAAGGCCUGGUUACUCUCACAGAGGGGUUGCCUGUGAUCCUGAACUGCACCUAUCAGACCACUUUCGCCGCUUCUUUCCUCUCCUGGUAUGUCCAAUACCCUAGUGAAGGGCUCCAGCUGCUCCUGAAGACGGCAACUGAAAACCAGAGGACGGAGAACCGAGGGUUUCACGCCACGCUUGUGAAGAGCAGCCGCUCCUUCCACCUGCAGAAGUCCUCACUGCAGCUGUCAGACUCGGCCCUGUACUACUGCGCUGUGAGAACACAGAGUCUAGUCUAUGGUUCCUUGUUACAGAGAGUUCACCCUAAAUCCCCACCAACGCUCACUUCAUGA
Nannospalax galili (Upper Galilee mountains blind mole rat) is the source of this 634-nucleotide non-coding RNA. Lineage: Eukaryota; Metazoa; Chordata; Mammalia; Rodentia; Spalacidae. The record is from the annotation of a RefSeq genome assembly.